This 547-nucleotide ribosomal RNA is filed under the name Clavaspis sp. D0274B. Its description in RNAcentral is "eukaryotic LSU rRNA". The record is from RNAcentral. Lineage: Eukaryota; Metazoa; Arthropoda; Insecta; Hemiptera; Diaspididae.
AUCUGGGCGGCGGAAUUCAGGAUGGCUGGCGUGCUCUCGCGGUGCGUCUGUCGUUUGAUAUUUCCGUCGCCAACUACCGCAGACGUCGCGACCUGUUCGCGGUCGGUCCUUGCUCGGAGGAGCCGCGUUCGAGUUCGUUGUGUGCGCGCUUCCGGCGCGUCACACGGCGAAGGCGCGGAUCUCUGGCUGGCCGUCGGACAGUACGCUUAACGGUGUCCGGUGUCGUCGUCUCGUACGCGCGGCAUCGGUACCGGUCAGCGACGAAUUCUUCGGGCCUCUUUCCGACCCGUCUUGAAACACGGACCAAGGAGUCUAACAUGCGCGCGAGUCGCGGGGUAUCGAGCGUACUUCGGUGCGUUCGUUAUGUUGCGAAACCCGUACAUGUCGAAGGCGUAAUGAAAGUGAAUGGGGAAGAUGGUGUUCCGAGUUCACGUUCCGCGAUCGUCGGUAUCGCGGCCGGUCACCCGCAUUCCCGGGGCGUCUCAACGGCCCGUCGCUGAUGCGGACAGUCGUCUUUCGGGGCGGCUGUCGGUCGGCGACGAACCGA